Molecule: unclassified non-coding RNA, 207 nt
Filed under: Hevea brasiliensis (rubber tree)
Lineage: Eukaryota; Viridiplantae; Streptophyta; Magnoliopsida; Malpighiales; Euphorbiaceae
Source: RNAcentral
UAUAUUUAGCAACACAACACCCUUUAUUAUUUCAAAUUCCAACAUCAGGUAGCUUGAUGUCCAUGGACAAAUCCACCAUGGCGCUUAGUCAGCAUUUCUCUUUCCUCUCUCAUGCCAUAUGUAACGACACCAUCCUUCAACUUUACCAGUUAUAACACUGUUGUCCUUCAACUUUGUCAUUUGUAACAAAUUUAUCCUUCAACUCUG